Molecule: ribosomal RNA, 1422 nt
Filed under: metagenome
Description: bacterial LSU rRNA
Rfam family: Bacterial large subunit ribosomal RNA
Source: RNAcentral
UAAGGUAAGACAGAGCCGGGAAUGAGAAAACCGGUGCAAGCACAAUAGAUGUGCGGGAGGAAAAACCCCCGCAUAAGUCGAAGGUGUGACGCGGACCGAAAAAGAGUAGGGAAGCUGUUAAGCAAGCCGUCAAGAAAAGCUGCUAUUGUUUCAUUAUGGCCCGUACCGUAAACCGACACAGGUGGAUGGGGAGAGAAUCCUAAGGCCGGCGGAAGAAGUAUUGUUAAGGAACUCGGCAAAAUGACCCCGUAACUUCGGGAGAAGGGGUGCCUGCGAGAGCAGGCCGCAGAGAAGAGGCCCAAGCAACUGUUUAGCAAAAACACAGGUCUAUGCAAAACCGAAAGGUGAGGUAUAUGGGCUGACGCCUGCCCGGUGCUGGAAGGUUAAGGGGAGUGGUCAGGAAACGAAGCCACGAACUUAAGCCCCAGUAAACGGCGGCCGUAACAAUAACGGUCCUAAGGUAGCGAAAUUCCUUGUCGGGUAAGUUCCGACCCGCACGAAAGGCGUAAUGAUUUGGGCGCUGUCUCGACAAUACAUCCGGUGAAAUUGAAGUGCCAGUGAAGAUGCUGGCUACCUGCGCCAGGACGGAAAGACCCCAUGGAGCUUUACUCCAGCUUGAUACUGGGACCCGGUAUUGCAUGUACAGGAUAGGUGGGAGGCUAGGAAAUGUGGACGCCAGUCUGCAUGGAGCCGCUGUUGGGAUACCACCCUUGUGGUGCUGGGUUUCUAACCAGAGGCCGUGAACCGGUCUGGGGACAAUGUCAGGUGGGGAGUUUGACUGGGGCGGUCGCCUCCGAAAGGGUAUCGGAGGCGCCCAAAGGUUCCCUCAGAAUGGUUGGAAACCAUUCGAAGAGUGCAAAGGCAGAAGGGAGCUUGACUGCGACACCGACGGGUGGAGCAGGUACGAAAGUAGGGCUUAGUGAUCCGGUGGAAUUUAAGUGGGAAUGCCAUCGCUCAACGGAUAAAAGCUACCCUGGGAUAACAGGCUGAUCACUCCCAAGAGUUCACAUCGACGGAGUGGUUUGGCACCUCGAUGUCGGCUCAUCGCAUCCUGGGGCUGAAGUCGGUCCCAAGGGUUGGGCUGUUCGCCCAUUAAAGCGGUACGCGAGCUGGGUUCAGAACGUCGUGAGACAGUUCGGUCCCUAUCCGGCGUGGGCGUAGGAUAUCUGAGAGGAGCUGUCCUUAGUACGAGAGGACCGGGAUGGACUGACCUCUGGUGUACCGGUUGGCGAUCAACGCCACGGCCGGGUAGCCAUGUCGGGACGGGAUAAACGCUGAAGGCAUCUAAGCGUGAAGCCCCCCUCAAGAUGAGAUAUCCCAUCGUAAGAGUAAGACCCCUUGAAGACGACGAGGUUGAUAGGGCAGGGGUGGAAGUGCCGUAAGGCAUGGAGCUGACUGCUACUAAUCGGUCGAGGGCUUGAC